GCGUGUGUGAUGAAGGCCUUCGGGUUGUAAAGCACUGUCGGGAGGGACGAACGGCUUGGUGUAACGGCCAAGAUUGACGGUACCUCCAAAGGAAGCACCGGCUAACUCUGUGCCAGCAGCCGCGGUAAUACAGAGGGUGCAAGCGUUGUUCGGAAUCACUGGGCGUAAAGCGCGUGUAGGCGGCGUCGUAAGUCUAAUGUGAAAUCCCUCGGCUCAACCGAGGACGUGCAUUAGAUACUGCGGCGCUCGAGUCCCGGAGGGGGUGGUGGAAUUCCAAGCGUAGAGGUGAAAUUCGU
Molecule: ribosomal RNA, 296 nt
Filed under: uncultured bacterium
Lineage: Bacteria
Description: partial 16S ribosomal RNA
Rfam family: Bacterial small subunit ribosomal RNA
Source: RNAcentral